Molecule: ribosomal RNA, 467 nt
Filed under: uncultured bacterium
Lineage: Bacteria
Description: partial 16S ribosomal RNA
Rfam family: Bacterial small subunit ribosomal RNA
Source: RNAcentral
GACGAACGCUGGCGGCGUGCUUAACACAUGCAAGUCGAACGAACACGACCGAACUUUCCCGGUCUGAUUAGUGGCGAACGGGUGAGUAACACGUGAGCAACCUGCCCUUCACUGUGGGAUAACCCCGGGAAAUCGGGGCUAAUACCGGAUAUGAGCUCCUGUCGCAUGGCGGGUGUUGGAAAGUUUUGCGGUGAAGGAUGGGUUCGCGGCCUAUCGGUUUGUUGGUGCGGUAGUGGCUCACCAAGGCGAUGACGGGUAGCCGGCCUGAGAGGGCGACCGGCCACACUGGGACUGAGACACGGACCAGACUCCUACGGGAGGCAGCAGUGGGGAAUAUUGCACAAUGGGCGAAAGCCUGAUGCAGCGACGCCGCGUGAGGGAUGACGGCCUUCGGGUUGUAAACCUCUUUCAGCAGGGAAGAAGCGAAAGUGACGGUACCUGCAGAAGAAGCGCCGGCUAACUACGUG